AGUGGGAUAGCUGGAUCAAAUGGUGUGGUUCCAUUCCCAAUUUUCUGAGGAAUCUCCAUACUGCUUUUCAUAGUGGUUGCACCAAUUUACAGUUCCAUUAGUAAU
RNAcentral lists this microRNA precursor (105 nucleotides) under Marmota monax (woodchuck). The record is from RNAcentral. Lineage: Eukaryota; Metazoa; Chordata; Mammalia; Rodentia; Sciuridae.